CACAUAAAUAUAUGGAUAUUUAUUGAUUCAUUAUUAACUCAGAGGAUAUGGGUAUGAUUGUCUUUAAUUGCAUAUACUUGUGAUAGCAUUUAUUCAGCAAACCUUUGCACAACACACCUUCCAAACAGUAGCUACAUCCUUUUACAUUUAUGUACAAUAGUCCUGUAGAGUCAGAUCUAAUUAGGCGGAGGGCACUGGUGUGCUAUUACAAGUGGCAUUCUAUUACCAAUAUUGAUGAUAAAAGAGAACAGGGCUAGAGAAAGCACCAAAACAAGUGAUUUUAAAUUACCCUCUCAAUUCCAGGAUCAACUUUCAUUCAAGUCAUUUUACUGACAGGCUGGUAUUUCUAAAACCACUGUGUUGAUGAGAACUCUGGCCUGCACAGCAGGGUAGCUCACAGCUCCCCUCUUCUCAGCUGUGUGCCCGUGCUUCA
This 433-nucleotide long non-coding RNA is filed under the name Bos taurus (domestic cattle). Its description in RNAcentral is "long non-coding RNA NONBTAT018451". The record is from RNAcentral. Lineage: Eukaryota; Metazoa; Chordata; Mammalia; Artiodactyla; Bovidae.